CGAGUUGGUCGGGUGAUCGCUGCUUUAUGGUUGUGUUGAAAGACAGACGCAUAAAGGGGAGGAAAGUCCGGGCUCCGCAGGGCAGGGUGCUAGAUAACGUCUAGGGGAUGAAAGUCCACGACAAGUGCAACAGAAAGUAUACCGCCGUUUAUCGGUAAGGGUGAAAUGGUGCGGUAAGAGCGCACCGCAUGGCUGGUGACAGUACAUGGCAAGGUAAACUCCACCCGGAGCAAGACCAAAUAGGCCUCAUUGACGCUGCCCGCGUAAGGGGCGGGUUGGUCGCUUGAACCGGUGAGCAAUUGCCGGUCUAGAGGAAUGAUCACCACUGAGAAAUCAGUACAGAACCCGGCUUAUAGACCAACUCACUGA
Molecule: RNase P RNA, 369 nt
Filed under: Ruminobacter amylophilus
Lineage: Bacteria; Pseudomonadati; Pseudomonadota; Gammaproteobacteria; Aeromonadales; Succinivibrionaceae
Description: Bacterial RNase P class A
Rfam family: Bacterial RNase P class A
About the family: Ribonuclease P (RNase P) is a ubiquitous endoribonuclease, found in archaea, bacteria and eukarya as well as chloroplasts and mitochondria. Its best characterised activity is the generation of mature 5'-ends of tRNAs by cleaving the 5'-leader elements of precursor-tRNAs. Cellular RNase Ps are ribonucleoproteins.
Source: Rfam by way of RNAcentral